ACAGUUGGAAACGACUGGUAAUACCGCAUAAGCGCACAGUAUCGCAUGAUACGGUGUGAAAAACUGAGGUGGUAUAAGAUGGACCCGCGUCUGAUUAGCUGGUUGGUGAGGUAACGGCCCACCAAGGCGACGAUCAGUAGCCGACCUGAGAGGGUGAUCGGCCACACUGGGACUGAGACACGGCCCAGACUCCUACGGGAGGCAGCAGUAGGGAAUCUUCCACAAUGGGUGAAAACCUGAUGGAGCAAUGCCGCGUGAAUGAAGAAGGUCUUCGGAUCGUAAAGUUCUGUUAUUAGAGAAGAACAAGUCAAGGAGUAACUGUCUUGACUUUGACGGUACCUAACCAGAAAGUCACGGCUAACUACGUG
This 368-nucleotide ribosomal RNA is filed under the name uncultured bacterium. RNAcentral describes it as "bacterial SSU rRNA". It matches the Rfam family "Bacterial small subunit ribosomal RNA", at positions 146 to 507 of the family's 1533-position model. The record is from RNAcentral.